UAGAGUUUGAUCCUGGCUCAGAUUGAACGCUGGCGGCAUGCCUUACACAUGCAAGUCGAACGGCAGCACGGGGGCAACCCUGGUGGCGAGUGGCGAACGGGUGAGUAAUACAUCGGAACGUGUCCUGUAGUGGGGGAUAGCCCGGCGAAAGCCGGAUUAAUACCGCAUACGAUCUACGGAGGAAAGCGGGGGAUCUUCGGACCUCGCGCUGCAGGGGCGGCCGAUGGCAGAUUAGCUAGUUGGUGGGGUAAAGGCCUACCAAGGCGACGAUCUGUAGCUGGUCUGAGAGGACGACCAGCCACACUGGGACUGAGACACGGCCCAGACUCCUACGGGAGGCAGCAGUGGGGAAUUUUGGACAAUGGGGGCAACCCUGAUCCAGCAAUGCCGCGUGUGUGAAGAAGGCCUUCGGGUUGUAAAGCACUUUUGUCCGGAAAGAAAACUUCGUCCCUAAUAUGGAUGGAGGAUGACGGUACCGGAAGAAUAAGCACCGGCUAACUACGUGCCAGCAGCCGCGGUAAUACGUAGGGUGCGAGCGUUAAUCGGAAUUACUGGGCGUAAAGCGUGCGCAGGCGGUCUGUUAAGACCGAUGUGAAAUCCCCGGGCUUAACCUGGGAACUGCAUUGGUGACUGGCAGGCUAGAGUGUGGCAGAGGGAGGUAGAAUUCCACGUGUAGCAGUGAAAUGCGUAGAGAUGUGGAGGAAUACCGAUGGC
Molecule: ribosomal RNA, 714 nt
Filed under: bacterium enrichment culture clone SC-2_15
Lineage: Bacteria
Description: bacterial SSU rRNA
Rfam family: Bacterial small subunit ribosomal RNA
Source: RNAcentral